RNAcentral lists this long non-coding RNA (284 nucleotides) under Elaeis guineensis (African oil palm). RNAcentral describes it as "long non-coding RNA (EGUI_LNC029079)". The record is from RNAcentral. Lineage: Eukaryota; Viridiplantae; Streptophyta; Magnoliopsida; Arecales; Arecaceae.
GGUGGCAAACCAGUGUGUCAUGAUUCGACUCAUGACCAACAAUCUAAUAUAUUACGAUUCUGCCUAUGACCGGCAAUCACAUCAUGGCUAGUCCAAAUUCUCUUACAUAUACAACAGUUCUUUUAAUAAUUUAUAUUAUAUUUCUUGUUUAAUUUUUAAAUAGUAAAUCUCAUAUGUCCAACAGUCAAAUAGUCAAUAUUUGAUACAUAUAUAAUAAAUAAUCAUAUAUCCAAAUAAAAUCAAAAUCAUCGUGUAGGAUACAAAAACAUGCAUACAAGUGAUCC